Molecule: long non-coding RNA, 995 nt
Organism: Falco peregrinus (peregrine falcon)
Lineage: Eukaryota; Metazoa; Chordata; Aves; Falconiformes; Falconidae
Exons: 2
Source: RefSeq, a predicted model, not a curated record
UAAUAUUUAUACGGACCUGCAUAUGACAGAUGUGGAUUUAAGAUCACCACUAGACGCCAUCUGCCAUCAGCCCUUUUCCCAUGGGAGCAGUCAGAGCUCAGUAGCAGACUUAUAUGGAAGGAGAAGAGUGUCAGGGGCUUCUCCAGGCACGACACAUGGAGACCUUGAUAAAUUAUCCAGCCCCAGGGUUGACAGUUCAGCUUACCUUCAAGCAUAUUGAUCAAUGAGAAGCUUCUGUCCCAUUUCUGCCCAGUCUGUCCUUGCACUGAUGACCAGAGGAUAUCUGAUCCAUGUUUACCAAUCCAGCUGUUCUGUUGGAGCUAAGAAUGUCUUCAGUGACUUAAUAUACAGUGGAGAGAUUUCAAAUUUCCUCUAAAAAUCAGCUUCAUAGCAAUUAUGGAGACACUGCAAGUGUGUUCAUGUAUGCUUAUAAGUGACUGGAAGUGAGGUGUGAAAUGGUUGUGAAAUGCAAAUCAGCCAAACUCCAAUGACUAAGUGGAGCGACACUGGUUGUCCCAGCUGCAGAUCUGAUUGCUAGGAUACAUUUAAUAUAUUACAGAAAGCAAGGAAUUCAGCUUCCAACAAGAAAAAAAAACACCAAAGAAAUUGUAUGCCCAAAUCUGAGGUUGUUCUGCAUCCACGACUGGAAGAAGUUGGAGCUGGUGCUGUCUUGGGCCUAUUCUAGGAAGAAGGUGAUGUCUUUUUUGAGCUGUAAUGCGAAAGAUGCACCCUUCUGCAUAAAUUUCCAUCAGGUAAAGUAAUGUAGACUCCAGCAUCACUUGGGAAGAAAUGAAAUUGUUGAAUAAAAGAUCAGCAUGGGAUUCAAGUCUCUCCUUGAAAGGAAACACGCUGGCUCCCCUGGGGAAUUUCUUUAACAGAUGGAAAUCCUUAUCCUUAAAGAUAAAGAUUGUGUCUUCAAAAGAGGGUAAAAUACAUUUUUUUUGUUUGUUUUUAGCUCCCAACAUUAUUACUCUUAAUAAAACCUGAAGAUACUA